This 168-nucleotide ribosomal RNA is filed under the name Hyporhamphus naos. RNAcentral's name for it is "partial small subunit ribosomal RNA". The record is from RNAcentral. Lineage: Eukaryota; Metazoa; Chordata; Actinopteri; Beloniformes; Hemiramphidae.
CACCGCGGUUAUACGAGAGGCCUAAGUUGAUAGACAUCGGCGUAAAGAGUGGUUAGGGAAGACAUAAACUAAAGCCGAACACCUUCAAAGCUGUUAUACGCUAACGAAGGUAGGAAGCCCCCCUACGAAAGUGGCUUUAAAUUUCCUGACUCCACGAAAGCUGAGGUA